CCCUUAGAUGUUCUGGGCCGCACGCGCGCUACACUGACUGACUCAACGAGUGUACAACCUGCUUCGACAGAAGUGGGUAAUCUUUUGAAAUUCAGUCGUGAUGGGGCUAGAUUAUUGCAACUAUUAAUCUUCAACGAGGAAUGCCUAGUAAGCGCGAAUCAUCAGUUCGCGUUGAUUACGUCCCUGCCCUUUGUACACACCGCCCGUCGCUCCUACCGAUUGAAUGGUCCGGUGAAUUAUUCGGACUGUAACGCAUUCAGUUCUGGAUGCAGUUACGGGAAGUUUUGUGAACCUUACCACUUAGAGGAAGGAGAAGUCGUAACA
RNAcentral lists this ribosomal RNA (324 nucleotides) under uncultured eukaryote. RNAcentral describes it as "partial 18S ribosomal RNA". It matches the Rfam family "Eukaryotic small subunit ribosomal RNA", at positions 1470 to 1796 of the family's 1831-position model. The record is from RNAcentral.